GCCCAACGGGGUAAGCUACUCACUCCUUGCAAGUAAAAAUUUACUACUCAACUGGGCAUUGUCUGUCUCCUUUGUCAGUAGGUGAUCUCAGAAUUUUAGUAACAACUUGGUCCUUCGAGCUGGAUCCCAACAUCUCUGACUGGAGGACGGGGAGGAACUGGUGAAGCUGAAAAACCUGUGCACAGUCUGGUCUGGGACCUGAAAGACCUCCACCGCAGAGUUCGGUGAAAAAAGAGGCCAGCUGAACCAGGACACCUCCGUCCAACAGUGGGGUGACGGGAUCCGAACAACAGUAAACGAGACCCUGCCUGCCUAGGAAGACACCAGUUGAGUGAGUAUGAGUGUGUUUGUGAGGUCGCGCGCAUGAACCGUUCUUGAGUGAACCGUUCUUGAGUGAGAGGUCGCUGCCCAGAGGGGUAAGCUACUCACUCCUAGUAAAGACCUGAUUAGGGAGGUCUCUAAAGACAAACCUCGCGCAUGCACGUUAAAGAUAAAGCUAGCAAAGAACGGUGUGAUUGGUGUGUGAUUGAUGAGUGAUUGGGUUCGCGACAGCCGAAGCAGCGGGCAGAGGGUAAACCUGAUCGGUGUCAACUGACUCUGCUGACUGUUGAAGUAGGCUGUUGGCGUUCCAUUGGCAAAUAUGAUAAGUAGUGGCAGUAAAAAGAUUGAACCUCAGCUGAUGGCUGAUGCAAAAUACAUGCAUAAACGUUACCCUGGCUCUUGUGAACAAUUGAGCAUGUGGCAAAAGAAAUAUGAUUUCAAUGAAACUCGGAGUAACUGCUUGUACUCUGUUGGUAAAAAAAGAAAAAAAAAUGAUUGGGUGCAAAAAAAAAAUGGUUGGUCUGAACUCAAGUGACCUUUCAGCAUAGCUGGACUAUGUAAGAUAGAUAGAUAGAUAGAUAGAUAGAUAGAUUGAUCCCAACCAGGGAAAUUCUGGUGUUCCAGCAGCAACAGUAGAAACAUACAAUAAAGUUAAAUAAAAAAGAAUAAAGGCUAAUUAUAUACAGUAAAGUCUAUAAAGACUAAAAACUAAAAUAUACAAUAAGGGCUAACCUAAGAAAAAGAGAUAUGAGAUGUGAAAUAUACAGAUGCUAUGUUAACACAGAAGCAGUAUGAUGAAAAUUAUGGUUGUAAUUCUUCAGCACCGUCACAACAAGCACAACAACAACAGGCAGGACAGAGACGUGCUACGUCUCCCCCUUACUGCCUCGCCACCACCUUUUGCGGCAGCACAGGCAGAGCUGGAUGCGCUUAAAGGUGCUGUAGGUGGAAAGGAAAGGAAAGAAUGGAAAUGCAGGGAAGAAAAAAUGAGGAGAGCAUGGAAAUGUUUGAACUGGAGGUUUAUUUGAAGCAAAUUGAUAAAAAAAAAAAAAAAAAAAAAACACUAUUGACCUCUAUGCAAUGGAUAAGCUGAUCACCUUUCUUUGUGAUUCUGGAGCUGAUAAAAUAGUGGUGAAUGAUCCCUGGUUCUCAGAUAAACUGUCAAAUGAUUUUGUCUGGGACAGAUCAGCAAAUGGUCUGAUGUCAAAGGAAUUUCUGACACAUAACAUGUUUGUGAAGGAUGACCUUACUGGCAAAAGCACAAAGACACAACUCCUAUAUUCUAGCAGCUGCCCGGUUAAUCUUUUGAGCAGACAAACAAUGUGCGAACUGAGCUUGGCCUUGCUUCCCACACUCAAGGGCCUGAUAGUUAAACAAGUAAACAACGGUGAAGACGUUUUUGUUAUGGAAGGGCAAGGGCAGCCCCAAUAUUUUUACACUUUGGACUUGUGUGCUUCAGCAGUCAGUGACAUCCCAGGCACAUUGAUAGAAAUGGCAGAUGCAUGUGUUCCAUCCAUGUCAGAAAAACACAGCUACACAGACUUACACUGUACAAUGUACUUCCCUCAUUCUGGUGAACCAGAUAAAAAAUAUGAAGCUAAACUUGCUCAGCUGACAGAUCUACAACUCAGUUUAACAGACAUGGUGUGGGACAAACACGGAAACUCUGUGGUUGCAGUUUCACUAACUAACGCACAGCAGCUCCUGUACAGAGAACAUGCACCUCCACAUGUAUCUCUUACUUGUAACCCCAACACAGAAUGGAGAGACCUCUACCGUCUCCUGUGUCAGACAAAAAUUGGCACUGAUUGGCACCCUGUGCAGACCCACCUUUUCUACAGUCCUACAUAUGGACUGUACAAACAACGCCUCAAUUGGUGCACGCGAGUGGAAACUGCAACCCACUUGAUACAAUAAUAAUAAUAAUAAUGAUAAAUCCUAUUUGUAACGCACUUUACAUUUAACAAUCUUAAAGUGCUACAGAGGAGAAAGAAGAAAGAUAUCAGAAAGUUGAGAAGAAGUGUCUUUGUCCUCUGAGGAGGAAGAGCAAUUGACUGAGAUAAAUCCAAACUUGUGGUCCUCUGGACCCGCUGAUGUUGGUUUGAUAAAAGGUGCAACACUGGUACAAAUUACACCAAAGACUUCUUUUAGGCCAUGUGUUAAACAAUAUCCCCUAAAGAGAGAUGCUGAAGAAGGCAUAUCAGAUACUACAGAUGCGUUGGUAAAGGCAAGUGUUAUAGUUCCUUGCCCUGAUUCACCUGUUAAUACUCCAUUGUUCCCUGUAAAGAAAGCAGCCAUCCCAGUGCAUCCCGACAGUCAAUUCUGGGUUGCCUUCAUGUAUAAACGGAAGAAGUGGACGUUCACAUGUUCAGCCCAAGGUUACUGUGAAUCUCCCACCAUUUUCUCACAAUGGAUGUCAUCUAAUCUAGCUAAAUUUUCACCACUCUGUGUUAGUCAAUUACUGCUGUAUGUUGAUGACAUAUUGUUAGCUUCCCCUACAGAAAAAGCAUGUCAAAUUGACACGAAAGCCUUGCUAAAAUUCUUAGCUGAUAAUGGGCACAAAGUCAAUAAAGCAAAAUUGCAGCUAUGGCGUCCUACAGUUAAAUAUUUGGGUGACAACAUUAGUGCAGACGGAAAAGCCUUAGAUCCGAAAUGUAAACAAGUCAUUCUUAAUGCACCUAAACCAUGCACCAAACAACUGUUCAACAAUUGUUGUUCAAAUGGUGUAUUGUAAAAAUGGUCACAUGUCAUCAGUCCUGUUGCAGUUUUAUGGUGACAAGUUGAGACCCUUGGCAUACUAUUCUUCCAAAUCAGAUUCUGUCACCUUAGCGUUCCCAGUAUGUGUCCAGCCGGUUAUUGUUGCUUCAAUGGCCGUUCAGGCAUCUUCUAGUAUUGUUCACUUUCACCCCCUUACAGUAUAGCCUUUUCUGACACAGAUUCCAUUGAGUCUGAACGAUCUUUUUGGUUGUCUCAUGGUGCUUCAAUUGUUGAUGGUAUUUACUUCUCUCCUGA
This is a long non-coding RNA of Myripristis murdjan (pinecone soldierfish), 3333 nucleotides long. RefSeq lists it as uncharacterized. The record is from RefSeq and is a predicted model, not a curated record. Lineage: Eukaryota; Metazoa; Chordata; Actinopteri; Holocentriformes; Holocentridae. The transcript has 2 exons.